GGCGCAGGCGGCCUGGUAAGUCGAAUGUGAAAUCUCCCGGCUUAACUGGGAGGGGUCAUUCGAUACUAUCAAGCUUGAGUGCAACAGGGGAAGGUGGAAUUCCCGGUGUAGUGGUGAAAUGCGUAGAUAUCGGGAGGAACACCAGUGGCGAAGGCGGCCUUCUGGGUUGUUACUGACGCUUAAGCCCGAAAGCGUGGGGAGCAAACAGGAUCAGAUACCCUGGUAGUCCACGCUGUAAACUAUGGACACUGGGUAUGGGGAGUAUCGACCCUCUCCGUGCCGAAGUUAACACGUUAAGUGUCCCGUCUGGGAACUACGGCCGCAAGGCUAAA
Molecule: ribosomal RNA, 332 nt
Filed under: uncultured bacterium
Lineage: Bacteria
Description: bacterial SSU rRNA
Rfam family: Bacterial small subunit ribosomal RNA
Source: RNAcentral